This 253-nucleotide ribosomal RNA is filed under the name uncultured bacterium. RNAcentral describes it as "partial 16S ribosomal RNA". It matches the Rfam family "Bacterial small subunit ribosomal RNA", at positions 524 to 776 of the family's 1533-position model. The record is from RNAcentral.
UACGGAGGGUGCGAGCGUUGUCCGGAAUCACUGGGCGUAAAGGGCGCGUAGGCGGCGCGGAUAGUCGGCGGUGAAAGCCCGGAGCUCAACUCCAGGUCGGCCGUCGAUACUUCCGGGCUUGAGCACUGUAGAGGCAGAUGGAAUUCCGGGUGUAGCGGUGGAAUGCGUAGAGAUCCGGAAGAACACCGGUGGCGAAGGCGGCUACCUGGACCAGCACUGACACUGAGGCACGAAAGCGUGGGGAGCAAACAGG